RNAcentral lists this long non-coding RNA (1479 nucleotides) under Homo sapiens (human). RNAcentral describes it as "non-protein coding lnc-MAX-3:2". Lineage: Eukaryota; Metazoa; Chordata; Mammalia; Primates; Hominidae. The record is from RNAcentral.
UUAGAGUGUACCCAAAACAAAGCUCUAGCCAAUCAAGUCUCUGUGUGCCUGGAGAGACUGGGCAGUUUGACCUUUAAGCCUGAAUAUUCAACUGUCCUACUCUUUGAAGCAGACACAACUGCUCUGCAUCAGACCAUCACCACAUUUGUGUCUCUCAAAACCAUUCAAAUUCCUGAGCACUUGAUGGAUCAUGCUAGUUCAUCAAAUAUUGGGCCUUUCCUGAAGAAAAGAGGCUAUAUCCCAAUGCAAGAGCAGAAUCCAGCAUCACAACUGUUCCUCUCAGCAAAUGGCUCCUUGGAAACAAAUCUGCCAGUGAUUGUCUGGACUGACUCACCCAAAAGCAGACCUUGGAGAAUAGUCAGACUUCUGCAAGAGCCUGCAAUUUCUUCAGUAGUGUCUGGGAAAACCUAAAGGGCUUAGAAAACUGGCUCCUCAAGAGUCAGUGACAGGAAGUUCCUGAAAAACCAAGUUAUCAAAAGUGUAACAGCCAUUCCACUACCAGUUCUUUCUCCAUUGAAACUGAAGAUCAAGAGUUUCCUGAACAAGAUGAGACAGAUCUAUCAGAUUGGUUGGUGACUCCCUAGGAACCCCAGAAGCUGGAGAAGCCUGAGAAUGGCAGUCGUGAAACCAGUGAGAAGUUUAAGCACUUGUGCUAGUCCUACAAUGUGAACGAUUGGCUUGUCAAGACCAACUCCCGCACCAACUGUCAGGGCAACAAGCCCAAGGGGGUGGAGAUUGAAAACCUGGCAAUCUGAACUGCCUGAAUGACCACUUGGAGGCCAAAACACCAUUGUCCACCCCCAGCGUGGUUACUGGGAUUGGCCUGUCCAGAAGCAUCAUGACCCAUGUAAGGUAGAGGAGAUGUGCAAAGCCAAUGAGCCCUGCACAAGCUUUGCAAAGUGUGUGUGUGAUGAGAAUUGUGAGAAGGAAGCUCUGUGCAAGUGGCUUCUGAAGAAAGAAGGAAAGGAUAAAAAUGGGAUGCCUGAGGAACCCAAACCUGAGCCUGAGAAGCAUAAAGAUUCCCUGAACAUGUGGUUCUGUCCUUCUAGAAAAGAAGUAAGAGAACACAGGCACUAAAGGUAAUGGUUCCUUCUGGAACUUCUGAUUCCUUCCAAGUCAUAAAGAACAGCUGUCAGAGUGGCUCAUCUGGCCGCCAUACAAAAAAGGAAGUCCCAAGGAAGACAGAGCUGGCAAACCAAAGCCUAAAAGCCCCAUGACCACUUCCUGGUGUCCCUUUAACACAGCUGACUGGGUCCUGCCAGGACAGAAGAUGGGCAACCUCAGCCAGUUAUCCUCUGUCAAAGACAAGUGGCUGCUUGGAAAGAAGGCCCAGGAAGUAUUAAUUAAUUCACCUCUACAGGAGGAAUAUAAUUUCCUCCUAGACCUUUUCGGCCUCCCUGCAGUUUGUGACCUUUUUGCCUGUAUGCAGCUUAAGUUGAUAAAGAGAAGUGGUUACACCAAACUCCUCUGCAGAUGUGA